Molecule: ribosomal RNA, 465 nt
Filed under: Vreelandella stevensii
Lineage: Bacteria; Pseudomonadati; Pseudomonadota; Gammaproteobacteria; Oceanospirillales; Halomonadaceae
Description: partial 16S ribosomal RNA
Rfam family: Bacterial small subunit ribosomal RNA
Source: RNAcentral
CCUAAGGGGGUCAGCAGUGGGGAAUAUUGGACAAUGGGCGAAAGCCUGAUCCAGCCAUGCCGCGUGUGUGAAGAAGGCCUUCGGGUUGUAAAGCACUUUCAGUGGGGAAGAAAGCCUUGGGGCUAAUACCCUCGAGGAAGGACAUCACCCACAGAAGAAGCACCGGCUAACUCCGUGCCAGCAGCCGCGGUAAUACGGAGGGUGCGAGCGUUAAUCGGAAUUACUGGGCGUAAAGCGCGCGUAGGCGGUCUGAUAAGCCGGUUGUGAAAGCCCCGGGCUCAACCUGGGAACGGCAUCCGGAACUGUCAGGCUAGAGUGCAGGAGAGGAAGGUAGAAUUCCCGGUGUAGCGGUGAAAUGCGUAGAGAUCGGGAGGAAUACCAGUGGCGAAGGCGGCCUUCUGGACUGACACUGACGCUGAGGUGCGAAAGCGUGGGUAGCAAACAGGAUUAGAUACCCUAGUAGUC